CCUACGGGAGGCAGCAGUAGGGAAUCUUCCGCAAUGGACGAAAGUCUGACGGAGCAACGCCGCGUGAACGAUGAAGGCCUUCGGGUCGUAAAGUUCUGUUGUUAGGGAAGAACAAGUGCUAGUUGAAUAAGCUGGCACCUUGACGGUACCUAACCAGAAAGCCACGGCUAACUACGUGCCAGCAGCCGCGGUAAUACGUAGGUGGCAAGCGUUGUCCGGAAUUAUUGGGCGUAAAGCGCGCGCAGGCGGUUUCUUAAGUCUGAUGUGAAAGCCCCCGGCUCAACCGGGGAGGGUCAUUGGAAACUGGGAAACUUGAGUGCAGAAGAGGAAAGUGGAAUUCCAAGUGUAGCGGUGAAAUGCGUAGAGAUUUGGAGGAACACCAGUGGCGAAGGCGACUUUCUGGUCUGUAACUGACGCUGAGGCGCGAAAGCGUGGGGAGCAAACAGGAUUAGAUACCCUGGUAGUCCACGCUGUAAACGAUGAGUGCUAAGUGUUAGAGGGUUUCCGCCCUUUAGUGCUGAAGUUAACGCAUUAAGCACUCCGCCUGGGGGACGUCGCAAGACUGAAACUCAAANAGAGUAGACGCGUGAGACGUAGCGACGGACGACGACGAGGGAGAGG
RNAcentral lists this ribosomal RNA (621 nucleotides) under uncultured bacterium. RNAcentral describes it as "bacterial SSU rRNA". It matches the Rfam family "Bacterial small subunit ribosomal RNA", at positions 338 to 956 of the family's 1533-position model. The record is from RNAcentral.